This 421-nucleotide ribosomal RNA is filed under the name uncultured bacterium. RNAcentral describes it as "bacterial SSU rRNA". It matches the Rfam family "Bacterial small subunit ribosomal RNA", at positions 359 to 773 of the family's 1533-position model. The record is from RNAcentral.
GAAUCUUCGGCAAUGGACGCAAGUCUGACCGAGCAACGCCGCGUGAGUGAAGAAGGCCUUCGGGUCGUAAAACUCUGUUGCCAGAGAAGAACGCUUCGUGGAGUAACUGCCACGGAGGUGACGGUAUCUGAGAAGAAAGCCCCGGCUAACUACGUGCCAGCAGCCGCGGUAAUACGUAGGGGGCAAGCGUUGUCCGGAAUUAUUGGGCGUAAAGCGCGCGCAGGCGGUUGUUUAAGUCUGGGGUUUAAGUUCGGGGCUCAACCCCGUAUCGCCCUGGAAACUGGGGAACUGGAGUGCAGGAGAGGAAAGUAGAAUUCCACGUGUAGCGGUGAAAUGCGUAGAGAUGUGGAGGAACACCAGUGGCGAAGGCGACUUUCUGGCCUGUAACUGACGCUGAGGCGCGAAAGCGUGGGGAGCAAAC